UACGGAGGGUGCGAGCGUUAUCCGGAAUCACUGGGUUUAAAGGGUGCGUAGGCGGGGAAUUAAGUCAGUGGUGAAAUCUUGUCGCUUAACGAUAAAAUUGCCAUUGAUACUGAUUUUCUUGAAUUGGGUUGAGGUUAGCGGAAUGUGACAUGUAGCGGUGAAAUGCAUAGAUAUGUCAUGGAACACCAAUUGCGAAGGCAGCUAGCUGGGCCUUGAUUGACGCUGAGGCACGAAAGCGUGGGUAGCGAACAGGAUUAGAUACCCUGGUAGUCCACGCCCUAAACGAUGCUAACUCGAUGUUUGGCCGUAAGGUUGAGCAUCCAAGGGAAACCGAUAAGUUAGCCACCUGGGGAGUACGACCGCAAGGUUGAA
RNAcentral lists this ribosomal RNA (372 nucleotides) under uncultured bacterium. RNAcentral describes it as "bacterial SSU rRNA". It matches the Rfam family "Bacterial small subunit ribosomal RNA", at positions 524 to 898 of the family's 1533-position model. The record is from RNAcentral.